UCCAAUGACAUUUUAUUCACUAUUCAUUCGGAGAAGAUAUGCCGUUGGUUGGGGUGACACAACGGCAUGUGUUGCAGCUCGAUAAGUCGGCCCAGCCAGGCCUUCAACUUACCCAUAUGUAGCUUUAGGUUCAAGUUGGGAAUGGACCAAUACUCGUUUCAAUACCAUGAUUACUUUAGUGGCCUUGUUCAAAAAAGAUAGUAGAAAGAUAGUAUCAAGCA
Long non-coding RNA from Lolium rigidum, 221 nucleotides. RefSeq lists it as uncharacterized. NCBI's taxonomy places the organism in Eukaryota, Viridiplantae, Streptophyta, Magnoliopsida, Poales, Poaceae. The transcript has 3 exons. The record is from RefSeq and is a predicted model, not a curated record.